UACGGGGGGGGCAAGCGUUGUUCGGAAUUACUGGGCGUAAAGGGCUCGUAGGCGGCCAACUAAGUCAGACGUGAAAUCCCUCGGCUUAACCGGGGAACUGCGUCUGAUACUGGAUGGCUUGAGGUUGGGAGAGGGAUGCGGAAUUCCAGGUGUAGCGGUGAAAUGCGUAGAUAUCUGGAGGAACACCGGUGGCGAAGGCGGCAUUCUGGACCAAUAUUGACGCUGAGGAGCGAAAGCCAGGGGAGCAAACGGG
This 253-nucleotide ribosomal RNA is filed under the name uncultured bacterium. Its description in RNAcentral is "partial 16S ribosomal RNA". It matches the Rfam family "Bacterial small subunit ribosomal RNA", at positions 524 to 776 of the family's 1533-position model. The record is from RNAcentral.